This is a long non-coding RNA of Maylandia zebra (zebra mbuna), 783 nucleotides long. RefSeq lists it as uncharacterized. Lineage: Eukaryota; Metazoa; Chordata; Actinopteri; Cichliformes; Cichlidae. The record is from RefSeq and is a predicted model, not a curated record.
UGUCAUCGUAUCGACAUUGUGCAAGUAUAAAAGCUGCAGACCGUCAGAGAUUAAACAACAAACAGCUGGAGUUGGUGAGCAUCGGCACGACUGAAGACAACUCAGAACGAUUAAACUGUUCAAGGACUUUUCCACAAUGAUUCUCAAGAUCUGUUUCAUUCUGCUUCUGCUUGUCGCCAUUUCACAGAUACCAGAAGUGAAUGCAGCAACUUCAAACACCCCAACCCGAAAUGCAACCAACCCAACCCAAAGUGCAACCACCCCAACCCAAAGUGCAACCACCCCAACCCAAAGUGCAACCACCCCAACCCAAGCUUCAGCUAACACAACGCAGAGCACAACAAACAGCACAGCAGCCAUUAACAAAAUCAGCCUGACUUCUGUCACAAUGGCCGUCGUAGCUGCUGUGCUUCCAUAACAUAGUUACAGUUGUAACUAUGUUGUUACAACUAGCUUUUUUAACCAUGCAUUUGUCUGUGUAUUUUUCAUAUCCUAUCAAAGUAGGGAAGUUUCAAUAAGGGGAGGGAUGAUAAAUAAAAGGGGAUCUAAACUGUCUUUUGAACACAUGUAAAUGAUCCAUUUUACUGUAUGCUUUCACAAGAUUGUGACUUUCUUUGUGGCAAAGGUCAACAAAUAAAAUGUUUACCAAUCAGAGGAAAUUGAUUCAAUCACACAUAUUAAGAUUUAUUGUGAUGACCAUCUAUUGUGAAAAUAACUGUACCUAACCUGAUUUAAGGGAGAAUAUGUUAACUUCCUAACCAAUAAAUGACAAUAAUCACUUAA